RNAcentral lists this non-coding RNA (194 nucleotides) under unclassified sequences. RNAcentral's name for it is "manA RNA". It matches the Rfam family "manA RNA". From Rfam's summary of the family: manA RNA has been located in 5'UTR regions of genes of mannose or fructose metabolism. Has been proposed as a cis-regulatory element and as a riboswitch candidate for his complex secondary structure. The record is from RNAcentral.
UGUCGGACCGAUCAACCGACAUGGAAGUGACUGAAUAACCCUGUUGGAAUUAGGCGGGGUAAUGUAGACAGUUAGGGGUGGUGCCCGCUACUUCGGUAGAACUAUUACCAAUAGAACUGUUGUUGUUAUGUACUAAUUUUCGCACUAGCGAUUCCCAUAGCAUGAGGGUAAAAUGUAUUCCCUCCUUCCACCCU